CUGUGACGUUAGCAACAGAAGAAGCACCGGCUAACUCCGUGCCAGCAGCCGCGGUAAUACGGAGGGUGCGAGCGUUAAUCGGAAUUACUGGGCGUAAAGCGUGCGUAGGCGGUUUGUUAAGCAAGAUGUGAAAGCCCAGGGCUCAACCUUGGAACUGCAUUUUGAACUGGCAAACUAGAGUACUGUAGAGGGUGGUGGAAUUUCCAGUGUAGCGGUGAAAUGCGUAGAGAUUGGAAGGAACAUCAGUGGCGAAGGCGGCCACCUGGACAGAUACUGACGCUGAGGCACGAAAGCGUGGGGAGCAAACAGGAUUAGAUACCCUGGUAGUCCACGCCGUAAACGAUGUCAACUAGCUGUCUGUGGACUUGAUCCGUGGGUAGCGGAGCUAACGCAUUAAGUUGACCGCCUGGGGAGUACGGCCGCAAGGUUAAAACUCAAAUGAAUUGACGGGGGCCCGCACAAGCGGUGGAGCAUGUGGUUUAAUUCGAUGCAACGCGAAGAACCUUACCAUCCCUUGACAUCCACAGAAGAGACUAGAGAUAGACUUGUGCCUUCGGGAACUGUGAGACAGGUGCUGCAUGGCUGUCGUCAGCUCGUGUUGUGAAAUGUUGGGUUAAGUCCCGCAACGAGCGCAACCCCUAUCCUUAUUUGCCAGCGCGUUAUGGCGGGAACUCUAAGGAGACUGCCGGUGAUAAACCGGAGGAAGGUGGGGACGACGUCAAGUCAUCAUGGCCCUUACGGGAUGGGCUACACACGUGCUACAAUGGCAAGUACAGAGGGCAGCAAUACCGCGAGGUGGAGCGAAUCCCACAAAGCUUGUCGUAGUCCGGAUUGGAGUCUGCAACUCGACUCCAUGAAGUCGGAAUCGCUAGUAAUCGUAGAUCAGAAUGCUACGGUGAAUACGUUCCCGGGCCUUGUACACACCGCCCGUCACACCAUGGGAGUGGGAUGCAAAAGAAGUGGCUAGUUUAACCUUCGGGAGGACGGUCACCACUUUGUGUUUCAUGACUGGGGUGAAGUCGUAACAAGGUAACCCUAGGGGAACCUGGGGUUGGAUCACCUCCUUAUCU
Molecule: ribosomal RNA, 1070 nt
Filed under: Colwellia sp. BRX10-1
Lineage: Bacteria; Pseudomonadati; Pseudomonadota; Gammaproteobacteria; Alteromonadales; Colwelliaceae
Description: bacterial SSU rRNA
Rfam family: Bacterial small subunit ribosomal RNA
Source: RNAcentral